This 242-nucleotide ribosomal RNA is filed under the name uncultured bacterium. Its description in RNAcentral is "partial 16S ribosomal RNA". It matches the Rfam family "Bacterial small subunit ribosomal RNA", at positions 535 to 776 of the family's 1533-position model. The record is from RNAcentral.
CUAGCGUUGUUCGGAAUCACUGGGCGUAAAGCGCACGUAGGCGGAUUUUUAAGUCAGGGGUGAAAUCCCGAGGCUCAACCUCGGAACUGCCUUUGAUACUGGAGAUCUUGAGUCCGGAAGAGGUAAGUGGAACUGCGAGUGUAGAGGUGAAAUUCGUAGAUAUUCGCAAGAACACCAGUGGCGAAGGCGGCUUACUGGUCCGGAACUGACGCUGAGGUGCGAAAGCGUGGGGAGCAAACAGG